Molecule: long non-coding RNA, 236 nt
Organism: Ornithodoros turicata
Lineage: Eukaryota; Metazoa; Arthropoda; Arachnida; Ixodida; Argasidae
Exons: 4
Source: RefSeq, a predicted model, not a curated record
CGCAAGCAAACCGACUCGAGGAAGAAGUUGUGGUCCGAGCCUAACAGCGCAUGCUUUCGUUCUCUCCGUGCCUGCCCGGCUCCUGUUCCACCGUUCCUCUGCCUCAGCGCCAUCCUUUCCAGUUUCAUCAUGACUGAGAUGAAUGAAGUUUCGCAGAUGGGCGAAGCUUCAGAGAUGAGCGUAGAAGAAUCAUCGCUGCAAGCGACAGGGGACGGCAAGGAGGAUCAAGGGAAAGG